This 1088-nucleotide long non-coding RNA is filed under the name Gossypium barbadense (sea-island cotton). RNAcentral's name for it is "long non-coding RNA (GBAR_LNC014068)". The record is from RNAcentral. Lineage: Eukaryota; Viridiplantae; Streptophyta; Magnoliopsida; Malvales; Malvaceae.
UUCAGUAUUGGUUCUAUGCUUCUAUUAUGGCGGUACACUUUGAAUGUCUUCUUUUGUUUCAAUGCUCAGUUUGAUUGUUGGGACAUCAGGAUUGUUGGUUUCGAAGCUGCUAGUAAUUACUUAUCAUAAUUUCCUGCAAAAUACUUGAAAGAAAAACCAAGGGAGAAUCAUUAGUUUUGUCUAAUGUUUGCAGGAUAAAGCAAGCUUUGAAUAGGAUAAUAUGCUUGUCUAACAUCUUCAUUGUCAAAUUAAAAAUGCAAUAAAAUCGUUGUUUUAGAAAGAUGUUUUGCAUUCAAUAGAAAAGAGGGAAUGAUAUUAUCUUGAAUGAGUCACCUAGAUGGGAAAGAAUACAAAACAAGAUUGGUGAGAUGCUUAAAUGGAAAGAGCAAGAAUUUCUUUCUCUCUGUCUUGUCUGUAUUUUACAGAACAUCAACUAUAUCAAGUUUAGAGAUUCAACAUUGGUGUAUGACAUUGAAUGUACUAGAUAGGUUUUAUUUUCUUUAUGAUGCUGUCGACUUUGUAUCAUAUUGCUGAAUCGAAUUUAUUUGUGACUUGAGUUAUUACGAUGUGCUUCGUCUAAAAUAGACGGACCUUUGUCAUUGGGCUAACACCAGUAACUUCCAAACAGGAUGUGGACUUGCAUGGUGAAUAGAUUUUGGGGAAAAUGUGACAUACCAAUUGUAGCAAUGGGAACGGUAAAUAACUCUUACCAUUUUAUCAGUGUUCUCUGAUUGUUCCUUACUUAGCAUGUCUCAUUGGGCAGUUCCCAACGGGUCUGGCAUUGGCAAUUGAGAAGAAAAGUAGGCGGAUCGAGAUAUCACUCUACUGCGUUGCACGAGCCAUAGAGAGCUUGUUUACAUGCAUGGCAGAUGUUGGGUAUUUGCCGAAGUCAAUGAAUCUGAAGAGGGCUGAUGUGGUAAUAUUUAGCUUGUCAACAGCGAUAAUAAUGCACUGCUACGCACAGGAGAGGGAAGUGUUCCGUUCCAAGUACUUAAGUGUUCUUGAUUGGGUCUUUGGUGUGCCCCCUCCCCCAUGUGAAACUCCUCCCUGCAAAAACAGAUGAGCAGUUCGCAGGGCUUUGGACUCAG